ACUCAUGCGGGUGAAUCCAUUUUGAUGUUCUAGCUAACACGUUACACUGAACGACUGUUCACACAUAUUACGUUUUUUGAAAAUUUCAUCUAUAAGAUUAUACAGCCUAAAUAUGUAACACUCCUAUAACAUGACAGAUGCUUUCAUUGUAGAUAGCACAUUAGGAUGUUGCACAUAUACAUCUAAAUAUGUUGCACUCCUAGACAGAGAAGAUGGAUUCAUGGCAGAUAGGAAGAGUCAACAUAUACAGCCCAGAUAUGUUCCACUCCUACCCAAUGAAUAUGGUUUCAUGGUAGAUGCACAUUAGGAUGUUUAACAUGUAGAUACAGCCAUAAUAUGUUACACUCCUAGACAAUGAAGAUGGUUUCAUGGUAGAUUGAUCACACAUCUGGAUACGUAGCAUAUACAGACUAGAUAUGUUACCCUCCUAGACAAUGAAGAUGCUUUCUUGGUUUACAGCACACGAAGAUUUGUAUCAUAUAACGCCUAAAUAUGUUACACUCUUCGACAAUGAAAAUGGUUUCAUUGUAGAUAGCACAUUAGGAUUAGUCACAUAUACUGCCUAAAUAUGUAAGACUCCUAUACCAUGAAAGAUGCUUCCAUUGCAGAUAGCACAUUAGGAUGUUGCACAUAUACUGCCUAAAUAUGUAAGACUCCUAUACCAUGAAAGAUGCUUCCAUUGCAGAUAGCACAUUAGGAUGUUGCACAUAUACAGCCUAAAUAUGUAAGACUCCUAUACCAUGAAAGAUGCUUCCAUUGCAGAUGCACAUUAGGAUAAGUCACAUAUUAUACAGCCUUAAUAUGUAACACUCCUAUACCAUGAAAGAUGCUUUCACACAUUAGGACGUUGCACAUAUACAUCUAAAUAUGUUGCACUCCUAGACAGAGAAGAUGGAUUCAUGGCAGAUAGGAAGAGUCAACAUAUACAGCCCAGAUAUGUUCCACUCCUACCCAAUGAAUAUGGUUUCAUGGUAGAUGCACAUUAGGAUGUUUAACAUAUACAGCCUAAAUAUGUUGCACUCCAAGACAAUGAAGAUGGUUGCAUGGUAGAUUGAUCACACAUCUGGAUACGUAGCAUAUAACGCCUAAAUAUGUUACACUCUUCGACAAUGAAAAUGGUUUCAUUGUAGAUAGCACAUUAGGAUUAGUCACAUAUGCAACUUAUAUGAUGUUUCAGUAGUAGAAGGUGCAGCAUGGCAGCAGAAGAUGUUAAAUUGAGAAUCGUGAAGAGACAGUUUAAUUCUUUAGAGAAUAAAUAAGAUUAUAGUUUAUAGAUGAAGAUUAUAAAAAUCUUUAAUGUUCAAAAUAUCAGAUGAGAAUUUGCCAAGUGCCCUCAAUAUGUCUACAAUGAUAUAACAAUCAUAAUUAAAAAUGUAUUGUAAACCUCUUUUUCAAUAUUCAUAUUAAAGAAAGUAGAUUGUCAAUUUAGAUAUUUACUUAUUUACCUGAAUUUUGGACAAUAUGACUUUAUUUAGAUUUUUUGAAAUUCAAGUUCAAAAUGUAUAUACAUCAGAUAGUUUUGGUUUGCCAGCAACUUCCAUUGUAUAGCCAAAAGAUCAAUUGUUGGUUGUAAUUAAGGCCAGCUCUAAAUAAGAUCUUAAAAUAGAAACUAUCUUCAAAUUUGACAAGUUACCAUAUCUACAUAUGAAUAAAUUAGAAUAGUCUGUAAAUAUUCUGUAUUUUCCUUUUUGCAUCAUCUUUUGAGUAACCAAAUCAGAACACCCAGUUUGGUGAAAUACUUUUUCCUGUUAUAUCUAUCAUUGCUUUUGUAAGAUAAAAACAAAAAUGUAUAUGCAGUUUUGUUAAAUAUAUUUAAAUUAAAAAUUUAAAAAAAAAUCAAAUUCAAAUUAACACAAACAAAAUUGACUUUAACUUAUGGUUUAGUUCAUGCACCCUUUAAUGUAUAUCUUAAAAGUUUUGUUGUGGACUAAGCAAAUAUCAAAUUAUCAUUUCAGAAGUACAUUUUGCUUGCAUGGUAUCAUCUUCACUAACAUUUAACAUAGUGGGUUUCGGAGUUACUGAGGUAGUUCUUAUUGAGGUGUUUCUUGUUUUUUUCUAUGGAGGAAUCAGUGGUUUCUAUUUUGUUCAGGAUAUGGUUUUGUCAUUCAAAGGGAACUGUCAAUGUAAUUCUGAAAUGAUAUACAUUUGGUAUUUUAUUGUCAUUGAAAAAGAAACAGUAUCAGUGCAUGAACAUUUGAACUGUGAAUAUAUAAUAUUUAAACUUUAUAAUUUAUAAUUUUUAAAUCGAUUUUGGAAAGUUAUUGUAUCAAAAUUAAAUUGUAUUUGACACAGUUUGAUGGAUGGAAAUUGAAAAUUAGAAAAACUUUGAAAACAAAAUUCCAAAUAUAAAUUUCUGCUUCAUUAAAACAUUUGGUUAAAUGGAUCUGCAAAAUCACUGAUAGCUAACAUGGUUAAUCCACUUAAUUAGAUAGUGUCGUUAAGUAUAGUCUAAUGGAUCCUGUUGAUAUCCUAUUAAAAGUAUUAAUGUAUUAUAAAUUAUAUUCCUAAAUCUAACAUGUCAGACGCGAGAGACCCCCCUUUGUUAUAGAGGGAUCGCCCUUGCAUCAGUGUCUUACAAAUUGUACUGUAAUAUACUGAACUAUAGAUUAGCUCAGUGGGUAGAUGAUAACAAUGUACUGGUUGAGGAACAGAAUGGUUUAUGACAACUUUGUAGUACAAUAGACCAAUUAUCUACUCUUACUAAUUUGAUAAAUGUGAGAAAAACACUUCCUAAAUCAAUCUUUUGCGCCUUUAUAUUGAUUUUAAAAAGGCUUACGACACUACACAGAGAUAUUUUAUGGUAUAAACUAAAUAAAAUUGGUGUUGCACAGACUUUUUUGUUCUGCUAUUAAGUCAAUUUAUACAAAUGUUCUGUAAGAAUAAACGAUCAUUUCACAGACUGGUUUGAUGUAAACACUGGCUUGAAACAAGGAUGUCCCUUGUCGCUCAUUUUGUUCAACUUGUAUAUUAAUGAUUAACAUUUCUUAAGUCCUUUGACUGCGGAAUAGAUAUUGGUGAUGAAAAACUGUAUUUUAUUAUAUGCUGAUGAUGUUGUUAUAGCAAACGAUGAAAAAGAGCUACAACUUUUGGUAAAUGCUUUUUCUACAUGAUUUGAAGACAAUUGUAUGACAAUUAAUACAAACAAGAGUAACAUUGUACAAUUUAGACCACCAUCUAUUCCUAGAUAUGAUGUAAUUUUUAAUUGUAAUGGUCAUACUAUAAAGUCUUCUAGUAAUGAUACUUGGUCUCCUUUUAAACAAGCAUUUAGACUAUAAUAUCACUGCAAAAGCCGUUGCAUCUUCAGCAAAUAGAACUUUAAGGAUGGUAAUAGCCAAGUGUAAACUUUAAGGGGGUGUUUGUUUCGAUGUAUUUGUAAAAUUAUAUGAAAGUUUGGUUUGUCCUAUAAUAGAAUAUGAAAAGGUAUAUGGGGUGUACAAAGAUAUUCUUGUAUAAAUUCCAUACAUAAUGGGGCCUGUAGAUUUUCUAGAAGUAGAAAAAUAUGCACCAAAUGCUGCAGUUACUGGAGACUUGGGUAUUAAUGUAUUAUACGUUGAUAAUUUUAUUUUAUAUUGCAUUUUGAUUUGUCAAUACACACGUUUUAAGGUGUAGGUCAGAGCACCUGACCCUGGAGACGGGAUUGCGCACUUGGCAUCCACUGACACAGGUUUCUAGAGCUUUUUGAUCGAUUAUAUCGUUUUUUAUCUCUAGUUGUUCCUGGCCGGCCUUGACUGUCUAUGAAGGGGUGCAUUUAGUCAAAAGUUGGUUUUGGUGUAUUUAGGAAAAUCAUGGAAGUAUUAUAUUUUACUUCCAUGGGAUAAUAUAUACCUAGGAAUUGUAUGAUUUUGAAUUAUAUAUACAUUGCAAUAAUAAUGAUUUAUUGAAUUUGUGAAUAUUUAUAAUACAAUCUGGCAUCCAUCGAGCAUGACGGGCUGUCGGCAAACUAAGAUUAUGUUUGCAUUAUUUAUAUUUGGCACAAGUAUGUAGUUAAUACCACCUAUUUUUGAUAAGCAGUGGAAAAGUAUUAUUCGUUUGUGGUGUAGAUUAAAUAACAUGAGCUGAAGUCUGAUAAAUGCAAAAAUUCAUUAGUGGGCUGAUAGAAUGAGUGUUAAGCAUAAGUGUGCUGAAAACUGGAACUUUUUAUCUUGUCCUGAAAAUAUGGACACAAAUUAUGUUGUUAAACUUUUAAUGUCAGAAUGCAUUUCAUUCACAGAAGUGCUUUUCUCAAAUUUAGAUGUGGUGUUGCUCCACUAAGGAUUUAUUUUUAAACUGGGAAAUAUGAAAAUUAUUGUUUUAGCGUGUGCCAUAUAUGUUAUAGUUUUAUUGAAGACGAAGCUAAUGUUUUAUUAAGAUGUCCUCUUUAUGAAGAUUUUAGAAACCAUUUAUGUUAUGUUGCUGAAACUUAUAAUGAAAAUGUUAAUACUUUAGAUGAUAACCAAAAGUUAGUGUUUUUAUUCUCAGAUGUGUUAUUCUCAGAUGUAAAUAUGAUACAUGUGUGUUCUAAAACCUGUUAUUUGAAUUUAAAAAGGCGUUGAAAUUUUAUAUAUGGUAAAUACAUGUAGUACUUUAUUUCAUAUUGUUUAAUGUAUUAUAUCUAUGCAUUUUAAUAGUCUUUAUAAUUCUGUAUAGAAUGGUUCAUUUUAUUUAGUAUUGUUUUACAAUGUAUAAAUAUCGAUUGUAAUUGUCGAGAGAGGAGACGGUCAUAAAACAUUGAAUUAAUUGAAUUGAGUUUGUUAGUAUUACAAUCAAUAUUUGUGUAUGCCUCGCACAAAAAUGUGCAAGCAGGGCCGUACUGGACAUUUUCAGUUAUCAAGGUUUUUUUUUUUAUAACAAACACACUGAGAUCUGGUAUCCAGGAAAUUAAAAUGAAUCAACAAUACUUUCAUGUAUUUUGUACAAUUAUAUUUUUUCUAAUUACACCUUGCUCAUGAUGCAGAUCUGUCUUCAUCUAAUACUAUGAUGAUGUACUACAGUGGCAUAAAAGUAGUUUGGUAUUUACCAUGAUGCAUUAGAAUUAAAUUUCCCCACGUUUCAAGCAAGGAUUUGUAUACAAAUCCUUGUUUCAAGGAAUAACAUUGAAAAAUAAUUUAUAAGCUAACACUUCUAGCCAGCAGUCUGUUUUGAAUGAUAAGGAUUUUUUUUAAACUGUUCAAGUAUACCUCCUUAGACAAUUUUCCUAGCAUUGGGUAUUGGAAUUUUCCAAUUUUUUCUCCACUACAUUUUCAGUUUUUAGUUGGUUGUUCCAUGUCAGCGGGGUCGUCGAUGAUAGAAUUUUUGCCAUUAUUUGAUAUUUCUCAUAAAAUAAAAUGCAAGAGCAUUUCAUCAAUUAUAAUUGCUACGAUUUUCUUUAUGUAUUUAUGCUUAUCCUUGUAUGCAUGUUUAUUGUUUUAAUGAAGAUAAAAUCCGAUGUCCAGGUUAUCGGCAAUAUGAA
Molecule: long non-coding RNA, 5428 nt
Organism: Mytilus californianus (California mussel)
Lineage: Eukaryota; Metazoa; Mollusca; Bivalvia; Mytilida; Mytilidae
Exons: 16
Source: RefSeq, a predicted model, not a curated record